GAUGAACGCUGGCGGCGUGCUUAACACAUGCAAGUCGAACGGAAAGGCCACAGCUUGCUGUGGUACUCGAGUGGCGAACGGGUGAGUAACACGUGGGUGAUCUGCCCUGUACUUCGGGAUAAGCUUGGGAAACUGGGUCUAAUACCGGAUAGGAAUCACAUGUGGGUGUGUGGUUGGAAAGCUUUUGCGGUAUGGGAUGAGCUCGCGGCCUAUCAGCUUGUUGGUGGGGUAAUGGCCUACCAAGGCGUCGACGGGUAGCCGGCCUGAGAGGGUGUACGGCCACAUUGGGGCUGAGAUACGGCCCAGACUCCUACGGGAGGCAGCAGUGGGGAAUAUUGCACAAUGGGCGCAAGCCUGAUGCAGCGACGCCGCGUGGGGGAUGACGGCCUUCGGGUUGUAAACUCCUUUCGUCAGGGACGAAGCGAAAGUGACGGUACCUGGAUAAGAAGCACCGGCUAACUACGUG
This 466-nucleotide ribosomal RNA is filed under the name uncultured bacterium. RNAcentral describes it as "partial 16S ribosomal RNA". It matches the Rfam family "Bacterial small subunit ribosomal RNA", at positions 28 to 507 of the family's 1533-position model. The record is from RNAcentral.